Spinacia oleracea (spinach) is the source of this 942-nucleotide long non-coding RNA. RefSeq lists it as uncharacterized. The transcript has 5 exons. The record is from RefSeq and is a predicted model, not a curated record. NCBI's taxonomy places the organism in Eukaryota, Viridiplantae, Streptophyta, Magnoliopsida, Caryophyllales, Amaranthaceae.
GUGGGUAACUGGAGAUCGAGAACUCCGCAAAAGCAAAAAGCACUUCAUUUCCACCGUCUUUCAUCUGCCUCCUAUAUUUACCUUCGGCUUUAACGCGCCGCCUUUCCCACCGCCUCCCAACCUCCGAUGAACGCCGAUUGCUUCCAUCAUUUCCGAGGAAUUCCACCAGACUAACAGAGGCUGAUCUUUGCUGGAAAGAAGUUUGAAGGUGAUCACUCUUGCUGACAACACCAUUCAUAAGGUUAAGACCAAAGAAGAAGAUUAAGUAGAGCAGUUGGUGUUCGGGCAACGGUUUCCAUGAAAUUGAUGUUCUAAAGAAGUUGUUUUACUAAGGUAUCUAUUAGCCUUCUGAUAGUGUGCAUAUGCUGUCAGGGGUCACCUGUAUCUUCGAGCUUGUGAGCUCCAGAAAGAAGAUUGUGUGUGCAAAAGUUCGAGAAGGUGAUCAAUGCAUUUGAAUCGACAAAUGUUCAUUCCUGAAAAGUAUUUUACCAAAACUCCCACGUAUUCUCAAACUACGAUUGACGAGCUAAGGGAGAGGUGAAUCUCAUACGUUAUCGAAUAUCACCAACCAAAUAACGAUUAAGAUGAAGAUGAUGAUGACGAUGAUCUAGUGUGACUUAAGCUAGCUGAGAUGGUUGUUGCAGAGUCUGUUCCUGCUGCAGACGUUGCUGUUGCUGCAGACGAUGUUGUUCCUGCUGCAGACACUGCUGUUACGCUGUUGUUCCUGUUGCAGACUCUGAUGUUCCUGCUGCAGACGUUGUUGUACCUGCUGCAGGCGCUGCUGUUGCUGGAGAAUUUGUUCCUGCUGUUGAGUUUUUUAUUUUUACAGUGAUAUUGGAUUUUUAUUUUUGCCGUACCUUGUGUAGAUCAUUUAUUUUGUUAUUGAAUGAAAAAUAUUAUUUUGUUAUUGAAUGAAUAAUAUUAUUUUGUUAUUGAAUGAGU